CCCCCCUUCUACUACCCCAGCAGCCCCCAACCAGAGUUGUAUUCCCCCUCGCUCAUCAUUCGUUCCAUGUACCCACACCCCAUGGACUGAUUUAAUCUCAGGAUCCUCUUUUAAAGAAGAGGGUUACAAGCUUAAGUUCGUCCCUCCCGCUUCUUUGGAGGGAAAACUGUUGCUUUUCUUCCUUCUAGCACCUUGGAGGCAGGGUCUGCAUGUUGGAGUGCUGCCGCGGUUGGAUUCUUUCUGUGCAAACGUCCACCUUUCUCAGCUGUGAAGGCAUCGCUAUCGAGUCAAUGGAAGCAUUGCAAAGAUGUGAAGUCCCAUAUGCUUGAUAAUGGGGCUUAUUUUGCAGCCUCUCUCAUCAUGUUCUGUUGCAUAUGAAUGUUCGAAGAACUUUGCCGCUGUGGUUGAGUUUUCUGAAGCUUAAACUACACCUUUGGACAGAAGAAGGCCUUAGUAUUAUUGGGAGCCUCAUUAGUACCCCAUUGUAUUCGGACGUAAGAACGAAGAUGAAGGAUUGGCUAUCUUAUGCAAGUAUUCUAAUUGAUGUGUCAGCUGAUUUCAGUUUUAGUUAAAAAAUAUCCAUCCUUCCAGAAGAUGGUUUGGUCUUCGAUCAAGAAGUCAGGUUUGAUUGGAUACCACCAUGUUGUCUUCAUUGCCAUUGUUUUGGCCAUAUUGAUCGUGAAUGUAUGAACCUGUCAAAAGUUUCAUUGAGCAAUCUGAUUGAUGUGAAUCUGGGUUCGUGCCACUCUGAACAAGGAUUUUCAGAAGAUCUUGAAGCUGACAAUGUUGAUCCUGAAGGGACUAUGAUGUCAUCUUUGUCUUCAUCUGAGAAAAUUAUUGGCCGAGAUAGAGCUUCACCACCGGGUGGGGUGGACGACGAACAGACUUUCCGGGAAGAAUCCUUCAUGACUGUACCUUGAAUGGUGCCUUGAUUUACGCCCAUGCUGUUCUCUCUUCAAUGCAUGGUAUUUCAAAUUCAAACUUUUCCUCUUAUAGCGCUUUUGCUCAAUUAGCGAAUUUGGAUCCCUCUGUUUUAGGAGUUGUUGACUCCAUUCCCUUAUCGCAUAAUUGAAGGAAUCCUUGCUUGCACCCAUAAUGACCAAUCUAUUAAAUCCCAUUCCCAAUUUGACCAGUCAAUUAAAUCUCUUUCCUGACUUGACCAAACAAAUAUAGCCCAUACCCAAUAUGUUGAUUUGUCACCUCCCUCUUCCCAUGAUUCUGCUCUCCCCUUAUCAAUUCCUACCAUUGAGCAUCCUACCUCCCCUAUCCAAUCCUCUUCCAUAAGGAUGAAGGAAAAGAAAAAGAAGAAGAA
Molecule: long non-coding RNA, 1312 nt
Organism: Macadamia integrifolia
Lineage: Eukaryota; Viridiplantae; Streptophyta; Magnoliopsida; Proteales; Proteaceae
Exons: 2
Source: RefSeq, a predicted model, not a curated record